AUUGAACGCUGGCGGCAGGCCUAACACAUGCAAGUCGAACGGUAACAGGAAGAAGCUUGCUUCUUUGCUGACGAGUGGCGGACGGGUGAGUAAUGUCUGGGAAACUGCCUGAUGGAGGGGGAUAACUACUGGAAACGGUAGCUAAUACCGCAUAACGUCGCAAGACCAAAGAGGGGGACCUUCUGGCCUCUUGCCAUCGGAUGUGCCCAGAUGGGAUUAGCUAGUAGGUGGGGUAACGGCUCACCUAGGCGACGAUCCCUAGCUGGUCUGAGAGGAUGACCAGCCACACUGGAACUGAGACACGGUCCAGACUCCUACGGGAGGCAGCAGUGGGGAAUAUUGCACAAUGGGCGCAAGCCUGAUGCAGCCAUGCCGCGUGUAUGAAGAAGGCCUUCGGGUUGUAAAGUACUUUCAGCGGGGAGGAAGGGAGUAAAGUUAAUACCUUUGCUCAUUGACGUUACCCGCAGAAGAAGCACCGGCUAACUCCGUG
Molecule: ribosomal RNA, 490 nt
Filed under: uncultured bacterium
Lineage: Bacteria
Description: partial 16S ribosomal RNA
Rfam family: Bacterial small subunit ribosomal RNA
Source: RNAcentral